This 500-nucleotide ribosomal RNA is filed under the name uncultured Glomeromycotina. RNAcentral describes it as "partial small subunit ribosomal RNA". It matches the Rfam family "Eukaryotic small subunit ribosomal RNA", at positions 591 to 1092 of the family's 1831-position model. The record is from RNAcentral. Lineage: Eukaryota; Fungi; Glomeromycota.
CCAAUAGCGUAUAUUAAAGUUGUUGCAGUUAAAAAGCUCGUAGUUGAAUUUCGGGGUCAGUAGGCUGGUCGUGCCACAGGUAUGUACUGGUCUCACUGAUUCCUCCUUCCUGAUGAACCGUAAUGCCAUUAAUUUGGUGUUGCGGGGAAUCUGGACUGUUACUUUGAAAAAAUUAGAGUGUUUAAAGCAGGCUAACGCUUGAAUACAUUAGCAUGGAAUAAUGAAAUAGGACGAUCGAUCCUAUUUUGUUGGUUUCUAGGAUUGACGUAAUGAUUAAUAGGGAUAGUUGGGGGCAUUAGUAUUCAAUUGUCAGAGGUGAAAUUCUUGGAUUUAUUGAAGACUAACUACUGCGAAAGCAUUUGCCAAGGAUGUUUUCAUUAAUCAAGAACGAAAGUUAGGGGAUCGAAGACGAUCAGAUACCGUCGUAGUCUUAACCAUAAACUAUGCCGACUAGGGAUCGGAUGAUGUUAAUUUUUUAAUGACUCAUUCGGCGCCUUACG